CAGUCGCCGCGGGAAUACGAAGGGUGCAAGCGUUAAUCGGAAUUACUGGGCGUAAAGCGUGCGUAGGCGGUUGUGUGAGACAGGUGUGAAAUCCCCGGGCUUAACCUGGGAACUGCGCUUGUGACUGCACAGCUAGAGUAUGGCAGAGGGGGGUGGAAUUCCACGUGUAGUAGUGAAAUGCGUAGAGAUGUGGAGGAACACCGAUGGCGAAGGCAGCCCCCUGGGCCAAUACUGACGCUCAUGCACGAAAGCGUGGGGAGCAAGCAGGAUUAGAGACCCCCGUAGUCCCUGUCUCUUAUAC
Molecule: ribosomal RNA, 301 nt
Filed under: uncultured bacterium
Lineage: Bacteria
Description: partial 16S ribosomal RNA
Rfam family: Bacterial small subunit ribosomal RNA
Source: RNAcentral